This 497-nucleotide ribosomal RNA is filed under the name uncultured bacterium. RNAcentral describes it as "partial 16S ribosomal RNA". It matches the Rfam family "Bacterial small subunit ribosomal RNA", at positions 28 to 507 of the family's 1533-position model. The record is from RNAcentral.
GAUGAACGCUGGCGGCGUGCCUAAUACAUGCAAGUCGAACGAACAGACGAGGAGCUUGCUCCUCUGACGUUAGCGGCGGACGGGUGAGUCACACGUGUAUAAUCCACUUAUAAUACUGAGAUAACUUCGGGACACCGGCGAUAAUAGCAGAUAAUCUAUUGCACCGUGUGGUUGAUUAGUGAAUGUCGGCUUUGCUGUCUCGUCUCGAUGGUUACGCGCCGGAUUAGCUAGUUGUGAAGGUCACAGCUUACCCAGGCAACGAUGCGUAGACGACCGGAGAGGGGGAUCGGCCACACGGGAACUGAGACACGGUCCAUACUCCUACGGGAGGCAGCAGUAGGGAAUCUUACGCAAUGGGCGAAAGCCUGACGGAGCAACGCCGCGUGAGUGAUGACGGUCUUCGGAUCGUAAAACUCUGUUAUUAGUGAAGAACAAAUGUGUAAGUAACUAUGCACGUCUUGACGGUACCUAAUCAGAAAGCCACGGCUAACUACGUG